RNAcentral lists this ribosomal RNA (272 nucleotides) under uncultured bacterium. RNAcentral describes it as "partial small subunit ribosomal RNA". It matches the Rfam family "Bacterial small subunit ribosomal RNA", at positions 26 to 285 of the family's 1533-position model. The record is from RNAcentral.
AGAAUCAACGCUGGCGGCGUGCCUAAUACAUGCAAGUCGAACGCGAAAGUGGAGCAAUCCAUGAGUAGAGUGGCAAACGGGUGAGUAACACGUGGGUGACCUGCCUUCGAGUGGGGGAUAACGUCUCGAAAGGGACGCUAAUACCGCAUGACAUCCUGCCUUUUAACAGGUGGAGAUCAAAGCCGGGGAUCGCAAGACCUGGCGCUUGGAGAGGGGCCCGCGUCCGAUUAGCUAGUUGGUGAGGUAAUGGCUCACCAAGGCAACGAUCGGUA